GGCCUUGACAUACUAAGAACUUUCCAGAGAUGGAUUGGUGCCUUCGGGAACUUAGAUACAGGUGCUGCAUGGCUGUCGUCAGCUCGUGUCGUGAGAUGUUGGGUUAAGUCCCGNAACGAGCGCAACCCUUUUCCUUAUUUGCCAGCGGGUCAUGCCGGGAACUUUAAGGAUACUGCCAGUGACAAACUGGAGGAAGGCGGGGACGACGUCAAGUCAUCAUGGCCCUUACGGCCAGGGCUACACACGUGCUACAAUGGUCGGUACAAAGGGUUGCUACCUCGCGAGAGGAUGCUAAUCUCAAAAAAGCCGAUCGUAGUCCGGAUCGCAGUCUGCAACUCGACUGCGUGAAGUCGGAAUCGCUAGUAAUCGCGGAUCAGAAUGCCGCGGUGAAUACGUUCCCGGGCCUUGUACACACCGCCCGUCACACCAUGGGAGUUUGUUGCACCAGAAGUAGGUAGUCUAACCGCAAGGAGGACGCUUACCACGGUGUGGCCGAUGACUGGGGUGAAGUCGUAACAAGGUAAGCGUAGAUGA
This 534-nucleotide ribosomal RNA is filed under the name uncultured bacterium. RNAcentral describes it as "bacterial SSU rRNA". It matches the Rfam family "Bacterial small subunit ribosomal RNA", at positions 977 to 1509 of the family's 1533-position model. The record is from RNAcentral.